UUAUACUUUAAGCUGUUGUCGUAGUUCAACAACAAAUUAUUAUCGUUUUGUACUGCUUGUAGGCAUCAUGGCAGAGGUUAUUAAGUAGGGAAUCUCUUAUCACCAGCAGCAAGUUUUCCAAGAGAUUCAGCCAGGAAAGGAUGAGUUUCCAGCAGUGAAGGACACGGAAGAAAUUACUGCAGUUGGGGCAGAAGACAUGGAUUUCGAGUAGCCUGCUCUGGGCCAACUUUUGGCCCACUGUUCACAGCUCCUGAAGGGGAGUCUUGAGAGCUGCUGAACUGUUCAAGCUUGCUAAGCAAUCCUGUCUGCUCCUGGAAUUCUGGAACAGCUCCGUGAACCGCUUGCAGUUGCAGUCCAGGUCGCUUCCCGCUGCUGGGGGAAAGGACAGGAGGAGGUGGGUGGCACCGGCGUAGGAUGGGCGCCCGAGGACCUGGAGCCAGGUCCUGUACUCCUGGCACUGAUGUUUGGCCAGAAGGUUUUUUUCAGUAAAGCCAUCAGCAUUGUGAUAGCCGGCAUUGCAAUCAGCAACAUGAACCCAUCUUGCUAAUAUCAACAGAGAAAGAAAAUCACAAUUUCAUAUCCUUAAAGGUGAACAUGUCCCAUAUGUUAGGUUUGAGGCAUUUUAAGCAAGUGGCUGAAAUAUUUUUACUAUCAUAUUAAGAGGACAGAUCAUGCUGAAAUGUAAGACAGUGUGACAUUUCUGGAAACAAAGAAGUUGCUGCAUUGUUUAAAAUGUUAAGUGUAUAUUUCAUAUAUGACCUAGCUGUUUUUCAAAGUUACAGAAGUUCAUAUUUUAAUCAAAAUGGAA
RNAcentral lists this long non-coding RNA (808 nucleotides) under Apteryx rowi (Okarito brown kiwi). RNAcentral's name for it is "lncRNA (ENSARWG00000007960.1)". Lineage: Eukaryota; Metazoa; Chordata; Aves; Apterygiformes; Apterygidae. The record is from RNAcentral.